GGGGUUGUAGCUCAGUGGUAGAGCCCAUGUCUAGCAUGUGUGAGGCACUGGGUUCAAUUCUCAGCACCA
Ictidomys tridecemlineatus (thirteen-lined ground squirrel) is the source of this 69-nucleotide non-coding RNA. The record is from Rfam. Lineage: Eukaryota; Metazoa; Chordata; Mammalia; Rodentia; Sciuridae.